Molecule: long non-coding RNA, 519 nt
Organism: Corvus hawaiiensis (hawaiian crow)
Lineage: Eukaryota; Metazoa; Chordata; Aves; Passeriformes; Corvidae
Exons: 3
Source: RefSeq, a predicted model, not a curated record
AUCAACACGAGCCAGGCCCGAGGUUUCUAAGGACAGUUGUUUUAAUCCUGCCCUGAGAUCUGGGACUUUUAAGCUGUUCUUAGCUCCAGGGGUUUAAGCACUGCAGCCCUCCAUGUCCCACCCCUGCGUGUGGCAGAGCAGACCCUCAGAGAGGAUAUGACCCAGCUCGGCUCAACACAAGACAUUUCUCUUGAUCCAACUGAGGGGAAAGCACCUGCAAAGCAAAUCCCCGUAACCAUGGCACUCCUUGGAUACAACCCUGAGAGCAACCACAGCACUCCGUAACUCUCCUGUGACCCUGUGCUGCUGCAGGUGAGCUGCUCUGGGGGCCACAUGGGGCUGGGGAGUUGCUGUCAGCAGCAAAAUGCCCCUUCUGUUCUGUGUCAGCACAAAGUGACACAGCCCAGCCUGAGUCUGCAGCCCUGCCACGUUUGACUGAUUUUGUCUAAACGCUCCUUUGCUCAGCAUCAACCUGUUUGUUCCUAUGGCAAUUAUCUCCCCUCCCAAUGUGCCCUUACC